RNAcentral lists this ribosomal RNA (465 nucleotides) under uncultured bacterium. RNAcentral's name for it is "partial 16S ribosomal RNA". It matches the Rfam family "Bacterial small subunit ribosomal RNA", at positions 338 to 795 of the family's 1533-position model. The record is from RNAcentral.
CCUACGGGAGGCUGCAGUAGGGAAUCUUCCACAAUGGGCGAGAGCCUGAUGGAGCAACGCCGCGUGGGUGAAGAAGGUCUUCGGAUCGUAAAACCCUGUUGUUAGAGAAGAAAGUGCGUGAGAGUAACUGUUCACGUUUCGACGGUAUCUAACCAGAAAGCCACGGCUAACUACGUGCCCGCAGCCGCGGUAAUACGUAGGUGGCAAGCGUUAUCCGGAUUGAUUGGGCGUAAAGGGAACGCAGGUGGUCUUUUAAGUCUGAUGUGAAAGCCUGCGGCUUAACCGGAGUAGUGCAUUGGAAACUGGGAGACUUGAGUGCAGAUGAGGAGGGUGGAACUCCAUGUGUAGCGGUGAAAUGCGUAGAUAUAUCGAAGAACUCCAGUGGCGAAAGCGGCUCUCUAAUCUGUAACUGACGCUGAGGUUCGAAAGCGUGGGUAGCAAACAGGAUUAGAUACCCGUGUAGUC